This is an RNA transcript of Lagopus muta (rock ptarmigan), 2724 nucleotides long. It is a transcript of the gene named translation initiation factor IF-2-like, with no coding region annotated. The record is from RefSeq and is a predicted model, not a curated record. NCBI's taxonomy places the organism in Eukaryota, Metazoa, Chordata, Aves, Galliformes, Phasianidae. The transcript has 9 exons.
GCACUGGGGAAGGACGUCUUUCUGAAGAUUUCUCCUUUUGGAGUUUUCUACUGCAAGCUUAGGAUACUGAGAGAUGGGUAUAAAGCUAUGUAAGACUUUGUGGCCAUCUACAAUGGAUGUGGGACAUCACUGUGAGCAUUACUGUACUGUGAAAGCAAUUCAAAGCUAGCAGAUGAAAACACCAGAAGCCCACAUGAUUUGUCCUAUAAUCAAGUCUUUUUUCUACAUACUCAAGGAAGUGGUUAAACGGCUGAGAGUCAUAAAAGAGCAGGAAGAAUUUUUAAGAUGCAGAGAAAUUAAACUUGCUCCAGUUUUCAAAGUUUUAAACGUAGUGUUCACUUUGCUUCCCCUUGAAGAAGCAGUUUUAUAGAGAAAAACUGAGUCUUGGCAUAAUCUGUUCUCUAGAGGGUCUGCAGUCCCUGUGCUGCUCACUCUCAGGAGAGCAGCUCCACGAGGAGACAGCAGCUCCCCUGCGUGCUUGUGUUUCCGCGAGAGGAGACAGAGACUUGUGUUUCCGCGAGAGGAGACAGAGACUUGUGUUUCCGCGAGAGGAGACAGAGACUUGUGUUUCCGCGAGAGGAGACAGAGACUUGUGUUUCCGCGAGAGGAGACAGAGAUGUCCAAGGAACAGGAGAAGAACUGUUCUCAGCUCAACAAAGGGCUGCCGAGUGUGCGAGAACGCCGCCAGGUGGGCAGCAGGCCACUGCAAGCUGUGCUGCCAGGCAGCUGGAACCAGGAAUCAUCCCUCCGUGAGGUUCAUCUGCCGUCACUACCCCACCUGGAGAGCACUCAUGCCUCUGGGAGUCACAGUGCACAGGCGGACAGGAAGAAGCUCAGGCAGGCACCGCCCCACAGCAGUGACUCCAGGGAGGGCAGACAGCAACCUUUGCCAAGGCAGGCAAUGCCACUGGCAGGUGCACCCCGGCAUGCAGCUUCUGCACGUACAGAAGUUCACAAAUCGCCCCCUCUGCAAGCACCAACCUCCAUACAUUCCCCAAGAAGCAGUCACCAUGCUAUGGGAUCUACAGCUUGCAGACUGCCCCCACUUGUUCCAUGUCCUCCAGGCAAUGCUCAGCAGCAGGAUAUGCCAGCGAGGGCCAAGAACUGGGAGGCAGAUAAGCUAGUCCCUAUGCCCCCCCUCCAACCAGCACAUAAAACAACUAAGUCGCUAGCGUUGGCAUAUCUUAGGCGUCCAGUAGCUGCAAAAAUGGCAGAAGUUUGCCAGAAGCCAGUCGCCGCAAGACCAAAACCUUGCUGGAAACCGGCACCUCCACAGCAAGGCCCACCCACCCGCACUGUGGGAGCACCAAGAACAACUGCUCCAGUGCUGGUCCCUGAGGCUGGGAGUGGCCCUGCAGAUGAGGUGCUACCAGAUCCCAGUGCUCAAGAGGGCGUAAGAGAUGCUGAUGGGGCUUCUACCGCAGCACAGCAGGCAGCGGAUGAUGGUGCCGAAGCUGCGGGUAUUCCUCGGGGCAUGCCGUCUUCCAAGGAUGUUGAAAAGAAGAUGCGCUCCUGGGUGAAAGAGCACAUGUUCUUACCCUGCUUACUUUGCGCUUCCCGAGACGUUGUUCUGGUGGACGUACAGGAAGAGAGGAAAGACACCCCUGAGAGAGAGGCUGCAGCAGAGGCAGCUGACGUCUCGUUGAGAACACCGUCUGGUGAGGCAGAGGCCCAGCCUGCAGCUUCUGCUGUGUCUGUGCACUCUCAGGACAAGGCAGACAAGCUGGAGCUCAGGCAGGCACAGGCCCCCAGCAGUGUCUCCAAGAAAGGGAGACAGCCUCAGUCAACUUCUGGAGCAUCUCUCUUUGUUCCUGUACCCCCACUCCAGCCUGCACAUGCCACACAAAAGUCACUCCAGUUGACAUAUUGUGGAUAUCCAGUAGCCGCAAGACCAAAACCCAGACAGAAACCAGCAGGUCCACAGCAAGGCACACCCACCCGCACUCUGAGAACAAGAAGAACUGGCCGGGUGCUGGCCCCCAAGGCUGGAAGUGGCUCUGCAGAUGAGGCACCAGGUCCCAGUGCUCAAGAGGGCGGAAGAGAUGAUGAUGAUGAUGAUGGGGCUUCCACCUCAUGUUCUGUCGCAGCACAACAGGCAGCAGAUGAUGGUGUCAAAGAGGCUGGGACUUCUCAGAAUAUGUCGGGUGCCAUGUACAUGCGCUAUAGGCCACUCUCCCUUAUGAGAGUGCGUGUGUACUUGUCCUGCAGUCGUUGCAAUUGCAAAUACGUUGUUGAGAGGGAUGUCAGGAAGAGUUGGAGGGUACCCCUGAGCGAGAUGCUGCAGCAUAGGAAGCCAGUGAGAACGCCAUCUGGUGAGGCAGAGGCCCAUCGUCCAGCUUCCUCUGUGGCUGCUCAUAGCAGGCAUACCUAGCCCCAGCUCACUGCCAGAUGACUUGGGAGACCACAAGCCCAUGCUUUUUUCUGUGGGACAAUUGAGAAGACAGCCCUAAGUAAAACGGAGCAGCAGAGGCAGCCAACAUCCCAGCAAGCAUGUCUAGAGCCCAGUCUCGUGAGGCAGAGGCCAAGCCUUUGGCUUCUGGUGUGGCUGCGAACCCAACAGCACCAGGUCCUUCUAGGUGCCAGUGAGGCUGACGGUCCACCUUUGCCAGGAUGGCACUCUGGGCUCUGAGCAGGGCUUUCACCUGAAGCUGCGUCAAGGGACAGCAGGAGGAAGAGUCACGAGGUUGCUGGUACCAGGCAGCUCCCUGCAGAUGGCUGCUGCCA